GGGCCAUUAGCUCAAUUGGCAGAGCAACUGACUCUUAAUCAGUAGGUCCACCGUUCGACCCGGUGAUGGCCCACCA
This 76-nucleotide transfer RNA is filed under the name Desulfobacter hydrogenophilus. RNAcentral describes it as "tRNA-Lys". It matches the Rfam family "tRNA". From Rfam's summary of the family: Transfer RNA (tRNA) molecules are approximately 80 nucleotides in length. Their secondary structure includes four short double-helical elements and three loops (D, anti-codon, and T loops). The record is from RNAcentral. Lineage: Bacteria; Pseudomonadati; Thermodesulfobacteriota; Desulfobacteria; Desulfobacterales; Desulfobacteraceae.